GGGUGAACCGGCCCAGGUCGGAAACGGAG
RNAcentral lists this non-coding RNA (29 nucleotides) under Cricetulus griseus (Chinese hamster). The record is from RNAcentral. Lineage: Eukaryota; Metazoa; Chordata; Mammalia; Rodentia; Cricetidae. RNAcentral also lists the same sequence under 1 other name.